UACGGAGGGCGCAAGCGUUGUUCGGAAUCAUUGGGCGUAAAGCGCGUGCAGGCGGCUUGGUAAGUCGGGUGUGAAAUCCCGGGGCUCAACCCCGGAACUGCACCCGAUACUGCCUCGCUCGAGUCCCGGAGAGGAUGGCGGAAUUUCCGGUGUAGAGGUGAAAUUCGUAGAUAUUCGCAAGAACACCAGUGGCGAAGGCGGCUGACUGGUCCGGUUCUGACGCUGAGGCGCGAAAGCGUGGGGAGCAAACAGG
Molecule: ribosomal RNA, 253 nt
Filed under: uncultured bacterium
Lineage: Bacteria
Description: partial 16S ribosomal RNA
Rfam family: Bacterial small subunit ribosomal RNA
Source: RNAcentral